Molecule: long non-coding RNA, 1871 nt
Organism: Cucurbita moschata (crookneck pumpkin)
Lineage: Eukaryota; Viridiplantae; Streptophyta; Magnoliopsida; Cucurbitales; Cucurbitaceae
Exons: 6
Source: RefSeq, a predicted model, not a curated record
CAAAAGAAGAAGAGUGAGAGAGAAGAACUGAGAGAAAGUUUGAGAGAGAAAACUGGUUUGCCGGAGUUUUCGUCGGAGAGUCGCCGACGGAAUCCAUUUCCUACCAAGACCUGUACUCUGGAGCCCUUCUUGGAGUGAAGUAAGAACUCGUGUGGAGAUUUCCUCCUCCUUCCUCAAGAUCAGAAAGAAAACCCGCAAAGGAGGAUUCGCUACCGAUCUUGGUGAGGGAAACGGACGGAACGACGAGAUCUGAGAGACUAUCCAAGAACGGUAAGGAGGAGAGAGAAGCCGCCGGCGUGCCACGCGUCAACCAACCAGAGGGCCGCGUGCGCCAAUCGCCCCCGGACACGCGUCGAGCGCCGCCUGGGAAAACGCGGCUCCAGCGCUCCUGCGACACGCGUCCCUGGCUCCGCGACCCGACCCGCGCUCCUUGGCUGACCCGAUACCCGCACGGCGAACCGAAUCCAGUUGACGACCCGCGGUCCACCCGAAUCACCGCUUCCGACCCGAACCCGCGACCCGCGACUGCAGGAAUUUCUGGGCGCGUGACACUCGCGCGUGGAACCCGCGAGUGGCUGCUCCCCAGCGCGUGACUGGCGCGUGGAGGCGCGUGACCUUAUUGAGGAAAAAUCACCCCCUCUCGUUACGCCAAGUGUGUGGAAACGCUGCGUAAGGGCACGUAGCAUCCAAGAGGAGAGAGAAGCCGCCGGCGUACCACGCGUCAACCAACCAGAGGGCCGCGUGCGCCAAUCGCCCCCGGACACGCGUCGAGCGCCGCCUGGGAAAACGCGGCUCCAGCGCUCCUGCGACACGCGUCCCUGGCUCCGCGACCCGACCCGCGCUCCUUGGCUGACCCGAUACCCGCACGGCGAACCGAAUCCAGUUGACGACCCGCGGUCCACCCGAAUCACCGCUUCCGACCCGAACCCGCGACCCGCGACUGCAGGAAUUUCUGGGCGCGUGACACUCGCGCGUGGAACCCGCGAGUGGCUGCUCCCCAGCGCGUGACUGGCGCGUGGAGGCGCGUGACCUUAUUGAGGAAAAAUCACCCCCUCUCGUUACGCCAAGUGUGUGGAAACGCUGCGUAAGGGCACGUAGCAUCCAAGUAAGUCGCCACACGGAAUUUAGGAAGUAAUACUUGUAGGAACCGCUUGGGAUGCAUGCAUGCUAGUCUGAAUAUUUUAGGUUGUAGCUUUCCCGUAAAUGUUCGUAGGAAAUAGUUUAUUGAACGUAAGAUGUAUGCUGUGAUUUGUUAUGAGAGUUACUUGGAUACUGCUUAUAUGCUCUUAAUUCCCACUUUAUUUUAUGCAUAUGUAUAUCUUUUUGCUGAAUGGAGAAUGGAAAAUUUGCGAACUCUGUGCUCCGGGAAUUGAUGGAUGUUAUCACCCCGUCGAGCUUGUAUGAUUACUUUGCAUGAAAUAUGUUUGAGGUUUUUGGAUAAUAGUUAUGUACGUACUCGGUUAUUUUUAGGGCCACCUUUAUGAAUAAGACUAGAAGACAAUGGUUAGAGCGACAAACCAUCAAGGGAUCGACUUAACCUUUCCCUAUUAGUUUAUCAGACCAUCACGGCACAUGAAACAUCCUUAGAGUACCCUUAAGCUACUUGUGUGUGGAUGGUGAUAUAGCUUCGUGGGGGACCAGCGGGUUCCUGAUCAGGACUCGACUGCUCGAUAGCCGUUUAGUAUGGGAAACGGGAUACCCACGUCGUAAUUGACCGUUUAGCUGGAUGGAAUAGGGGAGGUAGCCCUCCCAAAUACAGGGGGAUUAUCAUGGGUCUAGGGGGUUGCAGCUCACUUCCUAGGCAAGACCCCAGAUAAUCUCAUACCCAUGCCGAGGUAGCCACUCGUAAGGCACCAGUCCAACACAGGUUA